Columba livia (rock pigeon) is the source of this 295-nucleotide long non-coding RNA. RefSeq lists it as uncharacterized. Lineage: Eukaryota; Metazoa; Chordata; Aves; Columbiformes; Columbidae. The record is from RefSeq and is a predicted model, not a curated record. The transcript is spliced from 3 exons.
AGAGGAGGAGAGAAGAGGAGGAGAGAAGAGGAGGAGAGAAGAGGAGGAGAGAAGAGGAGGAGAGAAGAGGAGAGAAAUUCCUCAGAGGAAAAAGAAAGUGCAAGCACCAGGUAUGGGGAGAGGACAGCAGCUAUCAAAACCAGGACUCCAACCUGGCAAAGACAAAGACCACAUGUUGAGCAUAGCAGCUGAAGGAGAAUAACGCCUUAAUGGUUACCUCAGUUUAAGAGCAGAUACGGAAAAGGAUCAGUUAAUUUAGUGCACAUUCAACUUAAGCGAAGCGUACCUGCAGUGC